Molecule: long non-coding RNA, 3838 nt
Organism: Acanthochromis polyacanthus (spiny chromis)
Lineage: Eukaryota; Metazoa; Chordata; Actinopteri; Pomacentridae
Exons: 3
Source: RefSeq, a predicted model, not a curated record
CACAGUGUGUUUAGACAGAGCCGCUCAGUCCCCACCAGUGUUUCCGUAUACCGUGAUUUGCAUAAACAUGAGUAAUUUAUGAAUAAUAAAUGCCCUUGCGUUCAGCGGGAGCCGUUAAUUUGCAUAUCACCGCAGCUACAGUUUUAUUUCCUUAGUGCGUUGUUAUCAUGAAGCCCUUCAAGCCCGCAUAAACCCGAAUCAAAGACGUAAUGCUUUAACAGAGUGAAAGUAGCAGUUCCUCCUUAAGGUCAGAGAUUGCAGCAUCUGAGGGCCUCUUCAAAAGAAGACGGAGUUGAUGAAGAUGUUCUGGAGCAGGACCAGAAAGACCACAACCAAGCCGCCUGGAGAUCUUAGGCAGUGUCUCCCUCAGAUCCACCAACCACUGGAACACAUCUCCAAAGUUCUGCUGAAGCUCAGCUUCCCCUCAGAAGAAGUGCCGCCAGAUAAAGGAGCCUUUUGAGAGGCAGCUGGCAUCGUGAUUGGGCUGUACUUUGGUCUGAUCCAAUCCAGCUUCAGCUCCAGAGACAGCAGGCGGGGCGAUUCAACGGAGGCCGGGUGGACGAAGGCAUGCAGCUGAGUACAAUCCAGAAAACACCAGAGGAGGAGUGCAGCGGCCCAGGGCCAGAACAAACAGAGUAGCAUAGUAUGUCUCUUAGAAAACAUCAUAGUAUAGUCAUUGGUUCAAAAAACACCAUCAUAUACAUCGUAUAUUGUACAAAUAACCAGUCAAAGGAAAGAGACAUACAUUGUAGAAUUGCAGUAGCUGUGGGCUGACUGAUUUACUGAUUAUCAGUAUUUUAAUUUUUACUGAUUUACGGUAACAAAUAAAUUUAUAAAUGGCAUUACUUUGGCUCUGAACCUUUAUCUUGCUGUGGUCACUCUGUCUUCUGGAGAGAUUUAAUUGGUUAUACGUCACGAAUAAAACUCCUUUAACUUAACAUCUGGAAACAAAACAAAAACACAUCAACAAAGUUUUCUGUUAGAGUUUGUGUUCUUCUAAAUUUAACUCCAAGAUUUUAAAUACUUUCAUUUACUGCAAAUGAAUUUCUCCUCCAAAUGUCUCUCUAAUAAUCAUGAUCAGCCUUAAAAUCCCACAAAACACCCAUCUAUACUGGACCACACUUAGUACAGUCUGGUUCCCCCUUCUAUAAAUCUGCUUGGAAUCUUCCACUUCCUGUUUGUCAAAGUGGCCUUCUACCUGGACAGGUUUUGUUGGAGUUCAUGCAACAAACAUUUUGGGUAACUGCACUUUAAUAUGGAUGAACGACACUGAAUUAGAGUCUGUUUCAGUGGCGGCUGGUGGUGAAAUUUGUUGGGUGGGCUAACAAAUGCAUAAUACCGAUUAAAUGGUUAACACAGCUACAAAAGCAACAUCACCUGUGAUACACAUGCGGGCUAAAAUCCUUGAUUAUGCGGGCUAAAAUCCUUGGUUAUGUGAAUAAAUAUGCGGGGUUUUAUGCCAUUUUAUGUGGGGAAAUUGCAGAAAGUUGCAAAGUAUGCAAAAAUAUGCGCGAUUCACCUGCCGUCUGGCCAUGGAGGGAUGUGUCCUCUAAUCAGACACUGGGACUGCUGCGGGGUUACUGGACUGACAGCCUGUGCUUUGGGAGGGGGAGAAGCUCACAGCAGCACCUGCUGCUUGUUGAGGACAGUAACUGCAGAAUGAUCCGAGUUUUCCUGUCAGUCUCCAAAACAGCAGAAAAAGUCGCUAGAUUUGUGGCUCGUCGCUUUUGACAAAAAAAGUCGCUAGGACGCUUUCGAAAGUCGCUAGAUUUAGCGAGAAAGUCGCUAAGUUGGCAACACUGGUGCCGCGCUCCGCAUCAGCUCGUGCUUCUAGUGUGUGUGUGUGUGUGUGUGUGUGAAUGCACAAACUGAUGACGUCAGGCCAGGCGUCACAUAAAAACUCACUCACAACUCCAUUUAUAUUGGUUAUAGUUUUCUCAUUUUAUGCGGAAAUUGUGAAAUCAAGCAGGACCCGCAUAUUUCUCUUUUUUUUGUGGAAAUGUGAGAUUCUUGCAGGAAUUAUGUGCUGUUUUGCGGGGAUUAUGCGGCCUUUUGGGAAAUAAUUGACCCCUACAUAAUCAGCGGCAUUUUGGUGAUUAAUGCGGGAAUUCAUGCGAUUGCAAAAUCACGUUUUUCUGGAGGGUCUAGAAGUUAGCCCAAAUGAUCUGUAAAUCAUAGGGGUGGGACAUGACACCUGUCAAUCACUUACAAGAACAAAAUGAAUAAAAGCCACCACUGCGUUAAGUCGCUGCUAUUGGUCAAAAGUCAGUGGGCUGCCUGACGUUAGCCCAAAUGAUCAGUAAAUCACAGAGGUGGGACAUGACACCUGUCAAUCACUUACAAGAACGAAAUGAAUGAAAGCGGACUGUAUCUGCUGGGGCUGUAAAAAAUAAGCCCAUUUAGAGAUAUUCUAUGUUUUUCUUUUGACUGAUUGGUGCUUUUGUUACCUUUUUUUCACCUAAACUUAAAACAAUCUGUUGUAAGUUAUUUAAAAAAUAAUUUUCUCAUCUUUUUUGUGUUUGCUUGGGAGGGCUUAGCCCUGUUUAGCCCAUUUAUACCAGCCGUCCCUGGUCUGUUUUAAUGAGACUGAGUUCAGAUGUGUAGCUCUUUCAUUAAAUAGGAAAUUAUUUCUCGGCAUUCACAGAGAAAAGUCUGAAAUGUUUGCUAGGUUAGCGUCCCACAUGUUCUUUGGCUCAGCUAAAGCUAACUCUCCAACUUCUGGAUCUCUUGAGUUGCUUGUUGUUAAAAUAUCUUGCUAGAGGUGCUGAAGCUCAGAAAGUCUGAGAUGUUUGUUCAAAAUAAGCUCAUUCUCAAAUCUUAUCUGAACUGUCCUCUUUUGUUUGAACUUUCCCUAAAAUUAGGAGUUAAUGACAGAGCAGCACGUCCAGACUCAGUCUCAUUUAUGUAGAGAUUAAUCUUCAGUGUCAUUUAUUGAUGAUAAAUAAAUGACAACCCUAACCCUAACCCUAACCCUAAAUAACUUUCUCCACUAAAACUAAUAAACAUGAGGUCAAACAGAAGGAACAGUUUUAAAUCCUGCAGUCCCACGACAACAAGAAUAAAGUUUCUCAACAAAAACUAAAUCUGCUGGUGGAUUCCAUUAAAGUCCUAAUAAAUGAUAAUAAAGUGUGAUACUAAAGGUUUGUGGUGCUAAAAAUCUCAGAGUAAAGAUAUCAAGUUGAACAUCUGGAUGGAGGUUGAUAAAAGUUGACCUCCCUUCAUUUCUCUGGAGAUGACUCCAUGGAUUGAACUGUUUUUUCUUUAGUUAGAUUCUUCUUAAAUGUUUAGUUUUGCUCUUUUCUCACCUUUUAUUCUUUUUUGAUGUCUGAUUCUGAAAUGUUUUGUCUUUUUAAUGUUUAAUUGUUGUUUUUCAAAUGUUUUAUUGGCUUGUUUGAAAAAUUUCCUUUUCUUUUCCAAUGUUUAAUUUUUAGAUUAAAUCUUUAAGGGUUUUCUUUUAAAAGUUUUACUACCUUUUAAUGUUGAAUUUUAUUUUUGAAUGCUUCAUUGUAUUUUCUGUUUAAUUCCUAUUUAAAAUGUUGUCUUUAAGAUGUAAUUUUCUAAUGAAAUGUUUUGUCUUUUUAAAGGUUUAAUAACAAAUUAAAUGUUUUGAAUUUUAAAUGUUUAAUACUCUUAUUUAAGUGUAUUUUUUCAAUGUUUAAUUAUCUAUAUUUGAUCUUUAAUGCUAAAUACUUUUGUUUAAAAAUGUUUUAUUUCAUAAUUACAUGUUUUGUAUCUUCUGUUUAAUUAAAUUUUUGUCUGUUUAAUAUGAUUUAACUGUAUUUGUUUAACUCUCUUUUUACAAAUUUUAUUGUAUUAAAUGUUUCUUCCUUUGAUUUAA